UAGCGGACGGGUGAGUAAUGUCUGGGAAACUGCCUGAUGGAGGGGGAUAACUACUGGAAACGGUAGCUAAUACCGCAUAACGUCGCAAGACCAAAGAGGGGGACCUUAGGGCCUCUUGCCAUCGGAUGUGCCCAGAUGGGAUUAGCUAGUAGGUGGGGUAAAGGCUCACCUAGGCGACGAUCCCUAGCUGGUCUGAGAGGAUGACCAGCCACACUGGAACUGAGACACGGUCCAG
Molecule: ribosomal RNA, 235 nt
Filed under: uncultured bacterium
Lineage: Bacteria
Description: partial 16S ribosomal RNA
Rfam family: Bacterial small subunit ribosomal RNA
Source: RNAcentral